RNAcentral lists this unclassified non-coding RNA (22 nucleotides) under Mus musculus (house mouse). RNAcentral's name for it is "oocyte_clustered_small_RNA9808". Lineage: Eukaryota; Metazoa; Chordata; Mammalia; Rodentia; Muridae. The record is from RNAcentral.
AGGUCGUAUGCCACAGAAUGGA